AGCGAACGCUGGCGGCAGGCUUAACACAUGCAAGUCGAGCGGGCCCUUCGGGGUCAGCGGCAGACGGGUGAGUAACACGUGGGAACGUACCCUUUGGUUCGGAAUAACGCUGGGAAACUAGCGCUAAUACCGGAUACGCCCUUUUGGGGAAAGGCUUGCUGCCGAAGGAUCGGCCCGCGUCUGAUUAGCUAGUUGGUGGGGUAAUGGCCUACCAAGGCGACGAUCAGUAGCUGGUCUGAGAGGAUGAUCAGCCACACUGGGACUGAGACACGGCACAGACUCCUACGGGAGGCAGCAGUGGGGAAUAUUGGACAAUGGGCGCAAGCAUGAUCCAGCCAUGCCGCGUGAGUGAUGAAGGCCUUAGGGUAGUAAAGCUCUUUUGUCCGGGACGAUAAUGACGGUACCGGAAGAAUAAGCCCCGGCUAACUUCGUG
Molecule: ribosomal RNA, 433 nt
Filed under: uncultured bacterium
Lineage: Bacteria
Description: partial 16S ribosomal RNA
Rfam family: Bacterial small subunit ribosomal RNA
Source: RNAcentral